Molecule: ribosomal RNA, 1081 nt
Filed under: Marachernes bellus
Lineage: Eukaryota; Metazoa; Arthropoda; Arachnida; Pseudoscorpiones; Chernetidae
Description: eukaryotic LSU rRNA
Rfam family: Eukaryotic large subunit ribosomal RNA
Source: RNAcentral
AGUAACGGCGAGCGAACGGGGAAGAGCCCAUAGCCAAAGCUCGCGCCCUCGGGCGUGCGCAAUGUGGCGUAUGGGAGUCGGCACUCUCCGAGUGCGGCCUGCGGUGCAAGUCCCCAUGAGCGGGGCGCUCUACCCAGAGCGGGUGCAAGGCCCGUACCGCCGCGGGCCAGCGCGCGGAGUCGCCGAUCUCCCGGGAGUCGGGUUGCCUGGUAUCGCAGCUCAAAGUGGGUGGUAAACUCCACCUAAGGCUAAAUAUCCCCGAGAGACCGAUAGUAAACAAGUACCAUGAGGGAAAGUUGAAAAGAACUUUGAAGAGAGAGUUCAAUAGUACGUGAAACCGUUCAGAGGUAAACGGGUGGGACCACGAAGGCCCAGGUCGGUGGUGUACUCAGGUCGGUAGCGGGGACCCGUUUGUCCUUUUCAUGCGCCUGCCACGAGCGGUAGGCGCGGGGAUGGACGCGAGCCUCGGGCCCGUGCCGCACUUGCACCCCCCGUCCAGCGGGACGUCGCAAUCGGUUGGUCAACCGUGGUGCGGAAAUUGCCGGAAGGUGGGCGCCCCCCGUUCAUUCGGAGGGCGUUGUUUAUAGCCGGCUUUCCUUCCCGACAGGUAGACCGACCGAGGAGCUAAGACCUUAUUCAACGUUCCCAACGAGCGUCGCGACCCUUGGAGCGGUGCGAGGACUCGACUGUGGGUGCCACCUAACCGGUGAGCCCGAGCGAAGUCGGCGUUACUCGCUUACAAUUGGGUGUCGCGGGGAACCUGAGGUUUGCGGCGAGUAGAUCGGUAUCCCACCCGACCCGUCUUGAAACACGGACCAAGGAGUCCAAAGCGCGUGCGAGUUCCCGGGACUUGACCAGGCCCGAGGGCGCAAUGAAAGUGAGCGGUUGGGAUCCGCGCCAUCUAACGAUGCGCGGCGCACCAACGGCCCGUCGAUUCCGGUCUCGGAACGGCGGAGCCAGAGCACGCGCUUUGGGACCCGAAAGAUGGUGAACUAUGCCUGGGCAGGACGAAGCCAGAGGAAACUCUGGUGGAGGUCCGCCGCGGUUCUGACGUGCAAAUCGAUCGUCGGACCUGGGUAUA